AAUAUUGGACAAUGGGCGCAAGCCUGAUCCAGCCAUACCGCGUGGGUGAAGAAGGCCUUCGGGUUGUAAAGCCCUUUUGUUGGGAAAGAAAUCCAGCUGGUUAAUACCCGGUUGGGAUGACGGUACCCAAAGAAUAAGCACCGGCUAACUUCGUGCCAGCAGCCGCGGUAAUACGAAGGGUGCAAGCGUUACUCGGAAUUACUGGGCGUAAAGCGUGCGUAGGUGGUCGUUUAAGUCCGUUGUGAAAGCCCUGGGCUCAACCUGGGAACUGCAGUGGAUACUGGACGACUAGAGUGUGGUAGAGGGUAGCGGAAUUCCUGGUGUAGCAGUGAAAUGCGUAGAGAUCAGGAGGAACAUCCAUGGCGAAGGCAGCUACCUGGACCAACACUGACACUGAGGCACGAAAGCGUGGGGAGCAGACAGG
This 424-nucleotide ribosomal RNA is filed under the name uncultured bacterium. RNAcentral's name for it is "partial 16S ribosomal RNA". It matches the Rfam family "Bacterial small subunit ribosomal RNA", at positions 360 to 776 of the family's 1533-position model. The record is from RNAcentral.